CCUACGGGGGGCUGCAGUGGGGAAUAUUGGACAAUGGGCGAAAGCCUGAUCCAGCCAUGCCGCGUGUGUGAAGAAGGUCUUCGGAUUGUAAAGCACUUUAAGUUGGGAGGAAGGGCAGUAAAUUAAUACUUUGCUGUUUUGACGUUACCGACAGAAUAAGCACCGGCUAACUCUGUGCCAGCAGCCGCGGUAAUACAGAGGGUGCAAGCGUUAAUCGGAAUUACUGGGCGUAAAGCGCGCGUAGGUGGUUCGUUAAGUUGGAGGUGAAAUCCCCGGGCUAAACCUGGAAACUGCAUUCAAAAAUGACGAGCUAGAGUAUGGUAGAGGGUGGUGAAAUUUCCUGUGUAGCGGUAAAAUGCGUAGAUAUAGGAAGGAACACCAGUGGCGAGGGCGACCACCGGGACUGAUACUGACACUGAGGUGCGAAAGCGGGGGGAUCAAACAGGAUUAGAUCCCCCUGUAGU
RNAcentral lists this ribosomal RNA (464 nucleotides) under uncultured Pseudomonadaceae bacterium. RNAcentral describes it as "partial 16S ribosomal RNA". It matches the Rfam family "Bacterial small subunit ribosomal RNA", at positions 338 to 794 of the family's 1533-position model. Lineage: Bacteria; Pseudomonadati; Pseudomonadota; Gammaproteobacteria; Pseudomonadales; Pseudomonadaceae. The record is from RNAcentral.